Molecule: ribosomal RNA, 505 nt
Filed under: uncultured bacterium
Lineage: Bacteria
Description: partial 16S ribosomal RNA
Rfam family: Bacterial small subunit ribosomal RNA
Source: RNAcentral
GACGAACGCUGGCGGCGUGCCUAAUACAUGCAAGUAGAACGCACAGUUUAUACCGUAGCUUGCUACACCAUAGACUGUGAGUUGCGAACGGGUGAGUAACGCAUAGGUAACCUGCCUGGUAGCGGGGGAUAACUAUUGGAAACGAUAGCUAAUACCGCAUAAUAUUAAUUAUUGCAUGAUAAUUAAUUGAAAGGUGCAAUUGCACCACUACCAGAUGGACCUGCGUUGUAUUAGCUAGUAGGUGAGGUAACGGCUCACCUAGGCGACGAUACAUAGCCGACCUGAGAGGGUGGUCGGCCACACUGGGACUGAGACACGGCCCAGACUCCUACGGGAGGCAGCAGUAGGGAAUCUUCGGCAAUGGACGAAAGUCUGACCGAGCAACGCCGCGUGAGUGAAGAAGGUUGUCGGAUCGGAAAGCUCUGUUGUAAGAGAAGAACGGGUGUGAGAGUGGAAAGUUCACACUGUGACGGUAUCUGACCAGAAAGGGACGGCUAACUACGUG